GACGAACGCUGGCGGCGUGCCUAAACAUGCAAGUCGAACGGUGUAGUAAUACACAGGUGGCGAACGGCGGAGUAAUACAUGAACAACGUGCCCGGAAGACUGGGAUAGUCAGGGGGAAACCCUGGGUAAUACCAGAUGUGGCCGAUCUUUGGCAUCUUAGAUCGAUCAAAGGGGUUUUUUCGCUUCCGGAGCGGUUCAUGGCCUAUCAGGGUACGUUGGUGAGGUAAAGGCUCACCAAGCCGGACGACGGGAGCGGGUCUGAGAGGAUGAUCCGCUCGAGUGGGACUGAGACACGGCCCACACACCUACGGGUGGCAGCAGUGAGGAAUAUUCCACAAUGGGCGAAAGCCUGAUGGGAGCGACGCCGCGU
RNAcentral lists this ribosomal RNA (370 nucleotides) under uncultured bacterium. RNAcentral describes it as "bacterial SSU rRNA". It matches the Rfam family "Bacterial small subunit ribosomal RNA", at positions 28 to 402 of the family's 1533-position model. The record is from RNAcentral.